AAUGUCUGGGAAACUGCCUGAUGGAGGGGGAUAACUACUGGAAACGGUAGCUAAUACCGCAUAACGUCGCAAGACCAAAGAGGGGGACCUUCGGGCCUCUUGCCAUCGGAUGUGCCCAGAUGGGAUUAGCUAGUAGGUGGGGUAACGGCUCACCUAGGCGACGAUCCCUAGCUGGUCUGAGAGGAUGACCAGCCACACUGGAACUGAGACACGGUCCAGACUCCUACGGGAGGCAGCAGUGGGGAAUAUUGCACAAUGGGCGCAAGCCUGAUGCAGCCAUGCCGCGUGUAUGAAGAAGGCCUUCGGGUUGUAAAGUACUUUCAGCGGGGAGGAAGGGAGUAAAGUUAAUACCUUUGCUCAUUGACGUUACCCGCAGAAGAAGCACCGGCUAACUCCGUGCCAGCAGCCGCGGUAAUACGGAGGGUGCAAGCGUUAAUCGGAAUUACUGGGCGUAAAGCGCACGCAGGCGGUUUGUUAAGUCAGAUGUGAAAUCCCCGGGCUCAACCUGGGAACUGCAUCUGAUACUGGCAAGCUUGAGUCUCGUAGAGGGGGGUAGAAUUCCAGGUGUAGCGGUGAAAUGCGUAGAGAUCUGGAGG
Molecule: ribosomal RNA, 596 nt
Filed under: Escherichia coli
Lineage: Bacteria; Pseudomonadati; Pseudomonadota; Gammaproteobacteria; Enterobacterales; Enterobacteriaceae
Description: bacterial SSU rRNA
Rfam family: Bacterial small subunit ribosomal RNA
Source: RNAcentral